This 253-nucleotide ribosomal RNA is filed under the name uncultured bacterium. RNAcentral describes it as "partial 16S ribosomal RNA". It matches the Rfam family "Bacterial small subunit ribosomal RNA", at positions 524 to 776 of the family's 1533-position model. The record is from RNAcentral.
GACAGAGGGUGCGAACGUUGUUCGGAUUUACUGGGCGUAAAGCGCGUGUAGGCGGCUUUGCAAGUCGGAUGUGAAAUCCCACGGCUCAACCGUGGAAGUGCAUCCGAAACUGCAUCGCUCGAGUCUCGGAGAGGAAGGUGGAAUGCUUGGUGUAGAGGUGAAAUUCGUAGAUAUCAAGCAGAACACCUGCGGCGAAGGCGGCCUCCUGGACGAUGACUGACGCUGAGACGCGAAAGCGUGGGGAGCAAACAGG